Zophobas morio is the source of this 252-nucleotide long non-coding RNA. RefSeq lists it as uncharacterized. Lineage: Eukaryota; Metazoa; Arthropoda; Insecta; Coleoptera; Tenebrionidae. The transcript has 3 exons. The record is from RefSeq and is a predicted model, not a curated record.
AUUUUCCGAACUACGUGAAGUUAUAGUUGAAGGAGACAUGAAUUCUUUUAUAAUAUAAAAUAACAUAAAAAGCACCUUCGUUUGGCCCAAAUAAGUCCUCAAAGGAAACAUCUUUAACGGGGCUAAGGAGAGAGUUUGAAGAGAGUUUAGAAGAACUGUUAAUAAAAAAAAAUUUGGUGACCAGCCAAUAACUGGAGAGUCCAAAGACGGCGCUCCUCUUUUCAGUUCAACUUCAGAGACCUGAAUUGUCGU